This 477-nucleotide ribosomal RNA is filed under the name uncultured organism. RNAcentral's name for it is "partial 16S ribosomal RNA". It matches the Rfam family "Bacterial small subunit ribosomal RNA", at positions 329 to 797 of the family's 1533-position model. The record is from RNAcentral.
ACGUACACUCCUACGGGAGGCAGCAGUGGGGAAUAUUGCACAAUGGGCACAAGCCUGAUGCAGCCAUGCCGCGUGUAUGAAGAAGGCCUUCGGGUUGUAAAGUACUUUCAGCGGGGAGGAAGGCGAUAAGGUUAAUAACCUUGUCGAUUGACGUUACCCGCAGAAGAAGCACCGGCUAACUCCGUGCCAGCAGCCGCGGUAAUACGGAGGGUGCAAGCGUUAAUCGGAAUUACUGGGCGUAAAGCGCACGCAGGCGGUCUGUCAAGUCGGAUGUGAAAUCCCCGGGCUCAACCUGGGAACUGCAUUCGAAACUGGCAGGCUAGAGUCUUGUAGAGGGGGGUAGAAUUCCAGGUGUAGCGGUGAAAUGCGUAGAGAUCUGGAGGAAUACCGGUGGCGAAGGCGGCCCCCUGGACAAAGACUGACGCUCAGGUGCGAAAGCGUGGGGAGCAAACAGGAUUAGAUACCCCGGUAGUCCCA